CUUGUCCUCAAAGUUAACCUGUCUGCGUCCCUCCGCUGAGAGAGAAAACAAGAUUUAAAGGCGGCUUUUAAGUGGAAAUGGAGAACGUGGCGCACUUCACGCCGUUUGUUUACUCGUCUGGGGAGCCUUAAAAACACUUAGGAUGUGUAACAUUCAUGCCUUUGUAGCCUUUUAAGAGGAAACAAUGCAGAAAUGACGGAUUACAAAUGAGAAUCAUCAGAAAAGAGUUUUGGCUCCCUCUGCUGGCGCUUGGGUGCGACUGAUUUUAUAGGCUUCAGCAACCAUGAGCAUUGUAAGGAAGAUGGUUCAAAACGACUUAUAAAAGCACUAACCGGUGAUGAGGGCAGCUGCAGCAAUCAUGCUAACGGGCUGGACCGGGUGCUGCAGUUCACGGACAGCCAGCCAAGCCA
Corythoichthys intestinalis (scribbled pipefish) is the source of this 410-nucleotide long non-coding RNA. RefSeq lists it as uncharacterized. The record is from RefSeq and is a predicted model, not a curated record. NCBI's taxonomy places the organism in Eukaryota, Metazoa, Chordata, Actinopteri, Syngnathiformes, Syngnathidae. The transcript has 3 exons.